RNAcentral lists this ribosomal RNA (153 nucleotides) under uncultured bacterium. RNAcentral describes it as "partial 16S ribosomal RNA". It matches the Rfam family "Bacterial small subunit ribosomal RNA", at positions 1342 to 1500 of the family's 1533-position model. The record is from RNAcentral.
UCGCGCAUCAGCCAUGGCGCGGUGAAUACGUUCCCGGGCCUUGUACACACCGCCCGUCAAGCCAUGGGAGCCGGGGGUGCUUGAAGUGCGUCGCCGUGAGGGCGCGCCCUAGAGGCAAAACCGGUGACUGGGGCUAAGUCGUAACAAGGUACC